RNAcentral lists this ribosomal RNA (482 nucleotides) under uncultured bacterium. Its description in RNAcentral is "partial 16S ribosomal RNA". It matches the Rfam family "Bacterial small subunit ribosomal RNA", at positions 30 to 507 of the family's 1533-position model. The record is from RNAcentral.
AUUGAACGCUGGCGGCAUGCCUUACACAUGCAAGUCGAACGGUAACAGGUCUUCGGGUGCUGACGAGUGGCGAACGGGUGAGUAAUACAUCGGAACGUGCCCGAUCGUGGGGGAUAACGAGGCGAAAGCUUUGCUAAUACCGCAUACGAUCUACGUAUGAAAGCGGGGGAUCUUCGGACCUCGCGCGGCCGGAGCGGCCGAUGGCAGAUUAGGUAGUUGGUGGGAUAAAAGCUUACCAAGCCGACGAUCUGUAGCUGGUCUGAGAGGAUGAUCAGCCACACUGGGACUGAGACACGGCCCAGACUCCUACGGGAGGCAGCAGUGGGGAAUUUUGGACAAUGGGCGAAAGCCUGAUCCAGCCAUGCCGCGUGCAGGAUGAAGGCCUUCGGGUUGUAAACUGCUUUUGUACGGAACGAAAAGCCUCUUUCUAAUAAAGAGGGGUCAUGACGGUACCGUAAGAAUAAGCACCGGCUAACUACGUG